AGCAGUCGCCACGGUAAUACGGAGGGAGCUAGCGUUGUUCGGAAUUACUGGGCGUAAAGCGCACGUAGGCGGCUUUGUAAGUUAGAGGUGAAAGCCUGGAGCUCAACUCCAGAAUUGCCUUUAAGACUGCAUCGCUUGAAUCCAGGAGAGGUGAGUGGAAUUCCGGGUGUAGAGGUGAAAUUCGUAGAUAUUCGGAAGAACACCAGUGGCGAAGGCGGCUCACUGGACUGGUAUUGACGCUGAGGUGCGAAAGCGUGGGGAGCAAACAGGAUUAGAUACCCCUGUAGUCCUGUCUCUUAUACA
Molecule: ribosomal RNA, 303 nt
Filed under: uncultured bacterium
Lineage: Bacteria
Description: partial 16S ribosomal RNA
Rfam family: Bacterial small subunit ribosomal RNA
Source: RNAcentral